Pezoporus occidentalis (night parrot) is the source of this 319-nucleotide long non-coding RNA. RefSeq lists it as uncharacterized. NCBI's taxonomy places the organism in Eukaryota, Metazoa, Chordata, Aves, Psittaciformes, Psittacidae. The record is from RefSeq and is a predicted model, not a curated record. The transcript has 3 exons.
GAAAGGGAAAAAAGAAGGGGAAAAAAUGUGAGGACUAGCUUCUGCUGAAUAUUUUAGCUGAUGAUAUCUCAUUCGUGUGGCAGACCGGUAACAGGAAAAUAAAUGACUCUCAUCCUUUUGCAGAAGACAGCAGAGGCUGGAGAUGCUCAUAAAGCACUUAGCCUGAGGCCCUCGGAUGGGAAAGAAUGGGGCUGGUUUGUGCACUAGAUAGUUGAUAUGAGCCAGGGACAGAACAACCAAGUGUGAGGAUGUGUCAAAGGCACUCUGAGAGGUGUCCAGAGAAAGCCUGCAUCCACCAUGGGUAGGUAUGGAGAUGAGG